Oncorhynchus keta (chum salmon) is the source of this 2666-nucleotide long non-coding RNA. RefSeq lists it as uncharacterized. NCBI's taxonomy places the organism in Eukaryota, Metazoa, Chordata, Actinopteri, Salmoniformes, Salmonidae. The transcript has 3 exons. The record is from RefSeq and is a predicted model, not a curated record.
GUGUAACAUCUAGCUAGGUUUAUCAUGGUGUUAUAGACUGAUGGUUAAAUGACAGGUGUAACACCUAGCUAGGUUUAUCAUGGUGUUAUAGACUGAUGGUUAAAUGACAGGUGUAACACCUAGCUAGGUUUAUCAUGGUGUUAUAGACUGAUGGUUAAAUGACAGGUGUAACACCUAGCUAGGUUUAUCAUGGUGUUAUAGACUGAUGGUUAAAUGACAGGUGUAACAUCUAGCUAGGUUUAUCAUGGUGUUAUAGACUGAUGGUUAAAUGACAGGUGUAACAUCUAGCUAGGUUUAUCAUGGUGUUAUAGACUGAUGGUUAAAUGACAGGUGUAACACCUAGCUAGGUUUAUCAUGGUGUUAUAGACUGAUGGUUAAAUGACAGGUGUAACAUCUAGCUAGGUUUAUCAUGGUGUUAUAGACUGAUGGUUAAAUGACAGGUGUAACAUCUAGCUAGGUUUAUCAUGGUGUUAUAGACUGAUGGUUAAAUGACAGGUGUAACAUCUAGCUAGGUUUAUCAUGGUGUUAUAGACUGAUGGUUAAAUGACAGGUGUAACAUCUAGCUAGGUUUAUCAUGGUGUUAUAGACUGAUGGUUAAAUGACAGGUGUAACAUCUAGCUAGGUUUAUCAUGGUGUUAUAGACUGAUGGUUAAAUGACAGGUGUAACAUCUAGCUAGGUUUAUCAUGGUGUUAUAGACUGAUGGUUAAAUGACAGGUGUAACAUCUAGCUAGGUUUAUCAUGGUGUUAUAGACUGAUGGUUAAAUGACAGGUGUAACACCUAGCUAGGUUUAUCAUGGUGUUAUAGACUGAUGGUUAAAUGACAGGUGUAACAUCUAGCUAGGUUUAUCAUGGUGUUAUAGACUGAUGGUUAAAUGACAGGUGUAACAUCUAGCUAGGUUUAUCAUGGUGUUAUAGACUGAUGGUUAAAUGACAGGUGUAACAUCUAGCUAGGUUUAUCAUGGUGUUAUAGACUGAUGGUUAAAUGACAGGUGUAACAUCUAGCUAGGUUUAUCAUGGUGUUAUAGACUGAUGGUUAAAUGACAGGUGUAACAUCUAGCUAGGUUUAUCAUGGUGUUAUAGACUGAUGGUUAAAUGACAGGUGUAACAUCUAGCUAGGUUUAUCAUGGUGUUAUAGACUGAUGGUUAAAUGACAGGUGUAACAUCUAGCUAGGUUUAUCAUGGUGUUAUAGACUGAUGGUUAAAUGACAGGUGUAACAUCUAGCUAGGUUUAUCAUGGUGUUAUAGACUGAUGGUUAAAUGACAGGUGUAACAUCUAGCUAGGUUUAUCAUGGUGUUAUAGACUGAUGGUUAAAUGACAGGUGUAACACCUAGCUAGGUUUAUCAUGGUGUUAUAGGUUUAAUAGCACUGUAUUAGGUUCUGUAUGGUGUUAGUGUGACAUUAGUAGGGCAUACAGGAGCUGCAAGGUAUCAGGUCACGUCCUCGCAGGAUUACCACUGCUCUGAGACCUGUUCUCAGCUUAACACAGUUUCCAUGGCCACGUCAUCCCCCACUUUAGACUGCGGCACCCUGGAAAAUCGAGAUUCCUGAAGUAGGGCUUUGAUGUGGGAGUGAGUAUUUGAUUUGGUUAUUAGAAUUUUAUAUUGGUGGAGUUGAAUAGAGUUAUUCUAAUCUGAUGUUGUCUAGUAAAUUAUCUCUAAUGUCUGGCGUGAAGUCAUAAAGAGACUAGAAUGUCUGGGAGAAACCUGUGAUGUCACAAGUAGACUAUAAUCUCUUGAAGACCUCACAUCUGUGAUGUCAUAAAGAUGAAAUAAUGUCUGGAGAAUACUUGAUACUGUGAUUUUAUAAAGAGUAGAAUCUCUGGGAAAGACCUCUGAUGUCAUGAAGACACUAGAAUAUCUUGGAGACCUGCAAUGUCAUAAAUAGAAUCUCUGUGAUGUCAUGAGAGAGUAGAAUAUCUGGGGAAGACCUGUGAUGUCAUAAGUAGACUAGAAUGUCUGGAGAGGAACUCUGUGAUGUCAUAAAGAGAAUAGAAUGUCUGAGGGAAGACCUCUGAUGUCACAGACAAAGACAGUAGUAGUAGAAUGUCUGGUGAAUGUUGUCAGGAUGUCAAAAAGAAUGGAGCAGCCUCGUGGGAAGUCCAGUGUUUAGGACCUUUCAGUUUGACUGUUGUGACCCACCUUCAAUACAGUCUUUGUACAAACACCUAGACCUUAUCAACUAGCCAGUAAGGACUGUCCGUUGUUCCUCUGCCCGGCGAUUAGUAUUGGCUAUAGUGGCCCAUGGCUGGGCAGAACCAUCCAGUCCCUGCUGACUGGAGUUAGGGGGGUAUGUGAGGGCUAAGCCCCCAGGAUGAAGCAGUCUGGCUGGGGGAACAGGGUUCAGCGCAAGCCUUUCAACCUCCAGACUUGGCAUCAAUCUGGGAGUGGCCGCUGUUAAAUGGUUGUGUGUGCGUCUUUUGUCAGUUUGUCUUUGUGGGAUUGUUGUUGCGGUGUGGCUUUGACUGUGUGUGUGUGUGUGUGUUUUGGUGCUGUAUGUGUCUGUUAUAUUUAUGCCGUGUGUGUGUGUGUGGUGAUAAUGCCAGCUGUUUGAUACUCAGUACCCAGGGGGUGUGGCCAGAGCGAGAGCUAAAUUUACUGGUAAUCACAUGAAAGGGCAAUGAGGAGGAGGAGGGGGGAGGGGUGUAUCCCACUCAUCUCUCUUGAU